GUGGGGAAUUUUGGACAAUGGGCGCAAGCCUGAUCCAGCAAUGCCGCGUGCAGGAAGAAGGCCUUCGGGUUGUAAACUGCUUUUGUAUGGAACGAAACGGUCCGGGUUAAUACCCUGGGCUAAUGACGGUACCGUAAGAAUAAGCACCGGCUAACUACGUGCCAGCAGCCGCGGUAAUACGUAGGGUGCAAGCGUUAAUCGGAAUUACUGGGCGUAAAGCGUGCGCAGGCGGUUUUGUAAGACAGGCGUGAAAUCCCCGGGCUCAACCUGGGAAUUGCGCUUGUGACUGCAAGGCUGGAGUGCGGCAGAGGGGGAUGGAAUUCCGCGUGUAGCAGUGAAAUGCGUAGAUAUGCGGAGGAACACCGAUGGCGAAGGCAAUCCCCUGGGCCUGCACUGACGCUCAUGCACGAAAGCGUGGGGAGCAAACAGGAUUAGAUACCCGAGUAGUCC
RNAcentral lists this ribosomal RNA (450 nucleotides) under uncultured bacterium. Its description in RNAcentral is "partial 16S ribosomal RNA". It matches the Rfam family "Bacterial small subunit ribosomal RNA", at positions 354 to 796 of the family's 1533-position model. The record is from RNAcentral.